RNAcentral lists this non-coding RNA (198 nucleotides) under Flavobacterium granuli. The record is from RNAcentral. Lineage: Bacteria; Pseudomonadati; Bacteroidota; Flavobacteriia; Flavobacteriales; Flavobacteriaceae.
UCUUUGCAGCCGAAUUGAGGUUGUGUUUUGUUUUUUGCAAAUCACAUUAAAAGGGAAUUAGGUUCAAGACCUAAGCUGUUCCCGCAACUGUAAGCUAUCAAGCUUGUUGUUAUCUACAAAACCACUGUUCGCCGCGGCGAAUGGGAAGGUAAACAACAGGACGCAAGCCAGGAGACCUGCCUUUUUUCUUAACUAAUA